AUUGAACGCUGGCGGCAGGCCUAACACAUGCAAGUCGAGCGGAUGAAGGGAGCUUGCUCCUGGAUUCAGCGGCGGACGGGCGAGUAAUGCCUAGGAAUCUGCCUGGUCGUGGGGGAUAACGUCCGGAAACGGGCGCUAAUACAGCAUACGUCCUGAGGGAGAAAGUGGGGGAUCUUCGGACAUCACGCUAUCAGAUGAGCCUAGGUCGGAUUAGCUAGUUGGUGGGGUAAAGGCCUACCAAGGCGACGAUCCGUAACUGGUCUGAGAGGAUGAUCAGUCACACUGGAACUGAGACACGGUCCAGACUCCUACGGGAGGCAGCAGUGGGGAAUAUUGGACAAUGGGCGAAAGCCUGAUCCAGCCAUGCCGCGUGUGUGAAGAAGGUCUUCGGAUUGUAAAGCACUUUAAGUUGGGAGGAAGGGCAGUAAGUUAAUACCUUGCUGUUUUGACGUUACCAACAGAAUAAGCACCGGCUAACUUCGUG
Molecule: ribosomal RNA, 484 nt
Filed under: uncultured bacterium
Lineage: Bacteria
Description: partial 16S ribosomal RNA
Rfam family: Bacterial small subunit ribosomal RNA
Source: RNAcentral